UCAAAGAAAAAGACGAUGACUUUGAAGUCUACAAGUCAUAUUUCUGUGAACGAGUGAACUGGCAACAUGUCGAGCCCGUAAGUAACUAGGUUUUUCCUAUAGAAAUUAUAGCAAGUCACAGUAAAAUCUUGAACCCAUAACAACAACAACAACAGCAGCUGGAUCAAUUGGUUCUUCGGAAUCAAGGGCAACGAGUUCCUCUGCCACGUGCCCACCAACUACUUUCAGGACACGUUCAACCAGAUGGGCCUGGAGUACUUCAGCCAGCACUGGACGUGAUCCUGAAGCCGGCGUUCGACAGUUCCUCGGGCUUGUUCUACGACGAUGAGAAAAAGUGGUACGGCAUGAUUCACGCCCGAUACAUCAGGUCGGAGCGUGGCGUGAAUGAUAUGCACCGAAACUAUAUGAGAGGAGACUUUGAAUCGUGUCCGAAUAUCUCCUGUAAUAGGAAGAACACCCUGCCAGUGGGCCUCAGCGAUGUGCGGGGCAAGUCAACGGUGAAGAUCUACUGCCCACGCUGUAAAAACUACUUCCAUCCUAAAACUGAUACACAGCCAUGUUCGAGCCCAGCUUCCCGGACAUCUUCUUAACGCAGCUGCCGAACUUGAGACCGCCCCUGGGCGACCCACGGUAAGUAAUUCUCCGAAUAUAGUCCUGGUUGUUUUCUAAACAAAGCGCUUGAACUUGCAGUCCCUAUGCUUUCGGUUGCACCAGAAGGCCUUGAUGCCACUUAAAUCGCCCAAGUCACCAAAGAAUAUCGAAUCCUCGGUCAGCUAGUCCUCCUCCUCGCUCCGGCAUUCCGAAGUCAAGCGCUUCAAUGUUCUAGGGAUGACGUGAUUUUUUAACUCCACACAAAAGAAAGCAGAAAUGUUUGUACGAUAUAUUGUUGUUGCAAUUAAACAGAUUCCGCAGUGCGUUGAUAUGGCCAGCUAUCACCUACUAAUACACCUCAUACACCUCUCCUCUAAAUACUUGGUUCAAAGUGUUCGGUCCAAGCUGGUCAUAUCAAGCACUCAUUCGAGUAGCAAAGCAUACUUUUCGUUAAACGUGGUAAUCACCUGGGUAUAAUAAUAAUAUUAUUCAAUAAAAUAUUCAAUUCAGUUUUUUAUUUAAUUUUAUGUUAAAAGAGUUUCCAAAAGUGUUUUCCUGACUACAUCAAAUAUUUUUUGAUAAUUUAAUUUCUUUAAAU
Molecule: long non-coding RNA, 1189 nt
Filed under: Drosophila melanogaster (fruit fly)
Lineage: Eukaryota; Metazoa; Arthropoda; Insecta; Diptera; Drosophilidae
Description: Su(Ste):CR42438 (Dmel_CR42438)
Source: RNAcentral